Molecule: long non-coding RNA, 3404 nt
Filed under: Hordeum vulgare
Lineage: Eukaryota; Viridiplantae; Streptophyta; Magnoliopsida; Poales; Poaceae
Description: long non-coding RNA (HVUL_LNC008158)
Source: RNAcentral
UCCUUAUAUUUAAUUUUUUUCAACGUUCUCCUUUGAAAAUGUAUCCUUAAAAUCAUCUCUUUGCUCUCUUAGUAUCAAGGAGUGAUCUUGCAAAUAAAAAAUGAUUAAAAUAUGAGCAUCAAAUAAAAAAUGGUGACAGCUAGACAAUAAAGUCAACACGAUGGUUGGUGUAGUAAGAAAGGCUGGGACUGGUGGCACCUUAGUCCAUGCACCAAAUAUAGAACAACACUGAGUCAUGGCAACACAAAAAUAAGAGCAGAGUUAGAACCUAGAGUGAAAAUCACCUUUCCAUAUGGUUCAAUUCCCAUAGAACUGUGAGAGCUACACCCAUCAUCCUGAAUAAUAUAAGUUCUGUAUGCUCAUAUAUUUAUGGAUUCAGCAAUACGACAAUACCAUACACACAUGUUCAGAAAAUUAAAAUGAUGGCAAUGCAAUUGAUUCUGUUACUUUGAUAGUUUAGAAACAACAGUCGGCACGUUACACAAGAAUGUCCCCAUGUCCCAGCUGCCCCUUAUGCUAGAAAUAACAAAAGUUAAGCAUCAACUCAUACCUCAUUUUGACCCCAUGAGAAACAACGGUUGUUAGAACUGAAAACAAGACAGUGGCAAGCCCCUGGACAAAAUACAGGAAUCCAUUAGAAAAUUCGAUAUGACCAUAAAUCAAUUUUACUACUUGACGACAUUCAAGAAACGCCAUGACAACUUAGUAAUAUAGGCAUUUCCGCACACAGACUGGGCAACUUCCNGCACAACCUUGUGAGGAACAAUCAGAACUUGCAUGAUGGCACAAAAUCAAUAAAGUCAACAAAUUAUACCCUCAUUCUUCUAUCGAGAGAAAGUCUUAAACUGAGAUCAUCCAACUUUUCCACAAGCUUAUUCUUCAUCUCCUAUAGUACACCACUUCCAUUUGCACUCAAGAAGCAAUAAAGUACUUGUAGCAUAGCAAUACUUCUGAUGCAGCAUGAAAAUUGAUUUUUUUUCUUCUGAAACAAGACAUAUAUCAGUAACAUUGCCAUCUCUCUCAACCUUCUUUCUUCAGGAGCUCACUAACUAGGUGGUAAGCGGGCUACCAUGCAAAGAUUCUAGGUGCAAAAACAAAGUAACAACAUUUAGUGAUUCAGUCAUAUUCCUAGUAGCAUAUGCAUUACUUUCUGUCAGAAACAAUGCACUAAUCUUAUCAAUGCCGCUGUACCAUUCCAUCAUGGUUGCAAGCUCCUUAUAUUUUUUUCAACGUUCUCCUUUGAAAAUGUAUCCUUAAAAUCAUCUCUUUGCUCUCUUAGUAUCAAGGAGUGAUCUUGCAAAUAAAAAAUGAUUAAAAUAUGAGCAUCAAAUAAAAAAUGGUGACAGCUAGACAAUAAAGUCAACACGAUGGUUGGUAUAGUAAGAAUGGCAGGGACUGGUGGCACCUUAGUCCAUGCACCAAAUAUAGAACAACACCGAGUCAUGGCAACACAAAAAUAAGAGCAGAGUUAGAACCUAGAGUGAAAAUCAGCUUUCCAUAUGGUUCAAUUCCCAUAGAACUGUGAGAGCUACACCCAUCAUCCUGAAUAAUAUAAGUUCUGUAUGCUCAUAUAUUUAUGGAUUCAGCAAUACGACAAUACCAUAUACACACCUGUUCAGAAAAUUAAAAUGAUGGCAAUGCAAUUGAUUCUGUUACUUUGAUAGUUUAGAAACAACAGUCGGCACGUUACACAAGAAUGUCCCCAUGUCCCAGCUGCCCCUUAUGCUAGAAAUAACAAAAGUUAAGCAUCAACUCAUACCUCAUUUUGACCCCAUGAGAAACAACGGUUGUUAGAACUGAAAACAAGACAAUGGCAAGCCCCUGACAAAAUACAGGACUUCAUUAGAAAAUUCGAUAUGACCAUAAAUCAAUUUUACUACUUGACGACAUUCAAGAAACGCGAUGACAACUUUGUAAUACAAGCAUUUCCGCACACAGACUGGGCAACUUCCCAUACAGUGGAGUAAAGUCAGGAACUCACGGAGGAGGAAAGUAAGGAACUCACGGCAAUGGGAGGCGCCGAAACGGAUGUCCUCGCCCACGAGAGGGCACAACCUUGUUGGGGAACAAUCAGAACUUGCAUGAUGGCACAAAAUCAAUAAAGUCAACAAAUUAUACCCUCAUUCUUCUAUCGAGAGAAAGUCUUAAACUGAGAUCAUCCAACUUUUCCACAAGCUUAUUCUUCAUCUCCUAUAAUACACCACUUCCAUUUGCACUCAAGAAGCAAUAAAGUACUUCUAGCAUAGCAAUACUUCUGAUGCAACAUGAAAAUUGAUUUUUUCUUCAGAAACAAGACAUAUAUCAGUAACAUUGCCAUCUCUCUCAACAUUCUUUCUUCAGGAGCUCACUAAUUGGGUGGUAAGCGGGCUACCAUGCAAAGAUUCUAGGUGCAAAAACAAAGUAACAACAUUUAGUGAUUCAGUCAUAUUCCUAGUAGCAUAUGCAUUACUUUCUGUCAGAAACAAUGCACUAACCUUAUCAAUGCCGCUGUACCAUUCCAUCAUGGUUGCAAGCUUCUUAUAUUUUUUUUUAAUGUUCUCCUUUGAAAAUGUAUCCUUAAAAUCAUCUCUUUGCUCUCUUAGUAUCAAGGAGUGAUCUUGCAAAUAAAAAAUGAUUAAAAUAUGAGCAUCAAAUAAAAAAUGGUGACAGCUAGACAAUAAAGUCAACACGAUGGUUGGUAUAGUAAGAAAGGCAGGGACGGGUGGCACCUUAGUCCAUGCACCAAAUUAGAACAACACUGAGUCAUGGCAACACAAAAAUAAGAGCAGAGUUAGAACCUAGAGUGAAAAUCAGCUUUCCAUAUGGUUCAAUUCCCAUAGAACUGUGAGAGCCACACCCAUCAUCCUGAAUAAUAUAAGUUCUGUAUGCUCAUAUAUUUAUGGAUUCAGCAAUACGACAAUACCAUACACACCUGUUCAGAAAAUUAAAAUGAUGGCAAUGCAAUUGAUUCUGUUACUUUGAUAGUUUAGAAACAAUAGUCAGCACGUUACACAAGAAUGUCCCCAUGUCCCAGCUGCCCCUUAUGCUAGAAAUAACAAAAGUUAAGCAUCGACUCAUACCUCAUUUUGACCCCAUGAGAAACAACGGUUGUUAGAACUGAAAACAAGACAGUGGCAAGCCCCUGGCAAAAUACAGGAAUCCAUUAGAAAAUUCGAUAUGACCAUAAAUCAAUUUUACUACUUGACGACAUUCAAGAAACGCCAUGACAACUUAGUAAUAUAGGCAUUUCCGCACACAGACUGGGCAACUUCCCAUACAGUGGAGUAAAGUCAGGAACUCGCGGAGGAGGAAAGUAAGGAACUCACGGCAGUGGGAGGCGCCGAAACGGAUGUCCUCGCCCACGAGAGGGCACAACCUUGUUGGGGAUAUGUGUUGUGCCCACUUCCAGUUUUGUUCAUGUAUCC